RNAcentral lists this non-coding RNA (166 nucleotides) under uncultured Dysosmobacter sp. RNAcentral's name for it is "malK-I RNA". It matches the Rfam family "malK-I RNA". Lineage: Bacteria; Bacillati; Bacillota; Clostridia; Eubacteriales; Oscillospiraceae. The record is from RNAcentral.
CGUCCCCUACUCCAUUUCCAUAGGGGCCGGGAUCGAACAGAAGGAGGAAGCAGGCCGCCGGCCGGCGGUGCGGCAGUGUGGAGACCUGCCGUAAUUUCUCAGGGGACGCCCCCCUGUUGGAGAGGCUUUCGUGCGGAGGCGCGGAGGCCACGGUCAAGAGUAUGUC